UAGAUUAUUGAAGUCUGAUAUAUUAUUGGUCAAAUUAUGUCACCUUAUUUUGAUCUCCAAUAGCUAAGUAAUUGAAGAACAAUUGUACAAACAGUCAUCCACACACCAAAUGAUCUACACUAGAAGCAAGUAAAAGAAAAUGUAUGGAAAAUGAAAUUUCUAACAUUUUUCUCUCUUUUUUCUGAUGGUGCAAAUCACUGGCUGCUAACAAAACGCAUGAUUAUUUAUGAUGAUGAGGGUCAGGUCCCCCUGGACUAAGUCGUUUCGACUCGAAUGGGAUUCCGCCAUUUCUUUGAAUGCUUGCUUUAAUGGCUUCCCUGCCUUCUUCGAUCAAUGGACGGUUGGCUUCAAUAAUGGUUGCUUUAGAGUGUUGUUUGCCUGCAACUGCCAAUGCUAACUGGUCUGUGCCUGAAAAUUGUUUCGAUUCAAAAUGUCUAUAAGUUAUUUCUACUUCAUCAUGUUUACUACUAGCCUUAUACUGUGAUUUUGAUUCCAUUUCCAAUGCCGGAUCAGCAGUCGAAAAUGGAUGAAACAACCGAGCCCCGGAACUCGAAACCAAGAACAAAACUUGCAGGGAAAGGUAGAAUAAAACUUUGAAGCUCGCCAUUGAGAGUUAUCAAAUGCAGGGUUGAUAGUUGCCUAGCAUGGGGUGCAUGAAUAGAGUAUAUAUAGGCUUCAUAGCCAUCAUUUUUCCAGAAUAUUUUAAGUUUUGUCAAGUGGGAGUCCAAUGAUCUUUUCUUUUCUUUUUGAGGGGUCUAGAGAUGAAAUUUUCAGUGCUGGAAUUGACUUUUUCUUAAACCAACACUAAAGUAUAUGAAGAAGAUGAACAUUAACCAACAAAGUUAUUUCAACUUUGCCAAAGCAUGUUACCGGAUUUGAAGAUAAAAUUAAUGCCCCACUAAUCCAUUUAGUUUUUCAUCAUCUAGCCUCUAGCGUUUUGACAAAAAGGAAAAAUGAAGUGUUCCAUGUCAUGGGGCUUGGCAUUUUGCAUCAGCAUUUGUUGGAAAGCAGUGUGGUCUGGAUUUCCAUUUUCUCUUAGAUUCUUUCUUACCAAACAAAGGGCCAUUGCUAAUUUACUCUUUUCUCUUAUUUCUUCUUUCCUUUUUCAUUUUCUCAUUGCCCUUUUUUCAUUUUCUUCAAUAUCAGAAGAGCUUGAACAAAAACAAAAAAUUCUGCUAUUACAUAAGGCCCUGUUUUAACAUUAUUAAUUUGAUGAAAAAUGGCAGAGGGAAGAUUAAGAUUGCGUAAAUUAUGUUCUUAAUUUUUCUCUACGUAAACCUGCUUUCAAAUAUGUUAAGUUCAUAUAGGGUAUUCAAUUCAUCGACCUUGACUUACACAGCAGGCGAGUAAUUAACAUUCUUUGUGGAAACUAAAGAAUGCUAAUUGAUUCCACUAAAAAAGUAAGAAAUUAUUCAAAUGGUAUAAAGAUAUAUUAAAUGGCAGAACAUUUAUCCUCUCAAUGCAUCUUUUGUAUAAUACAUACAGACUUUUUUCUUCAUCAAAUAACUAUUUAUGCUCUGUUACUUCAACAACUCUCUCCCACUCCACAGUCCAAGCUUUAAUAAAUACACAAUGCUGUUUAAACAAAAUAAAUUAUGGCCUAAUGAAUCAUUUAGUCAUUAAACUAUCUUGCUUUUUCCGCUUUCAUUUUUAAAGUUUUUUCUUCGGAUUAAGAACUAACAUUAUAAAAUCGACCAAAAUAUCUAAUCAAUUAUAAAAUGGCACGUAGUUAUUCAUGAAAACUAAAUUUCUUAUUAAAUCUUCUUAAUAUUCUCAUAUGACUCUCUUUCUCACAUAAUAUUUCUUCUUCUCUUGUCUUGAGGUAAUUAUGAGAAGAGUUUGGAGUACUGUUACGAGUACUAUUCAACCUUAUAACUUGCCAUAUUUAGCGUUAGACAACUUUUUGUAAAUAAAAUGGAUAGUAGGAAGUGAAGGAUGUCGAGAGUAAAGUCAAUAAUUUUGCAAUUUGCAAAGUUUAAUUGUUUUUCAAUAUCCAUUUGUUUACCCGAUAAUUCCACGUAAAUUAAUUAAUUGAAAAGUAAGACAUGUGGUAUUUUAUUAUUGAUUGAAUAUCUCAAUAAAUAAAUUAAAUUAUUGCAAAUGUAUCUCUGAAAACAGUUGCCUCAAAGUCGGCAAGAGAAGGGUAGUGCAUGUUCCAACCUUGAUGGUGCAAUUUAAUAAUAAAAAAUACAGAACAGGAUAAUGAAAAUUUGCUUUGCUGAUGAUAAUAGGCAAUUCCUUCAUCUUUAUCAGCUUGUAGCCGCCAAUUUUCAUCAUCAAAUUGCUGCUCUUAAAUCAUUUAAAUCAUCAAUUGGUUUGGAAAGAUUUGAUGGUCGAUACCAACUAAUGUGAUUAACCAUUUAAAUCAUUGGUGAUUUUCGUAGAUUAACAAAGUAGAACAGUUCCUCUGCAACUAUGUAUAUUACAUUAUUGAAUAUUUUGCAACUUAAUGCUUCCAGAUGGUACAAACUUGGCUCUACCGCAACAAACAAGUCUCAUAUGAUUAAUUCAUUGCUUAAGCAUAUGAAAAGGGCUUAAAGGUUUACCUUAACAAUCAAUUGGAUGAUGAGAUGUUUGGGCAAUUAAGAGGGGAGGGUAAAACAAGAGAAGGGAUGGUGGAGUAUAUGAUCUCACAAUUGGCCAAUCACUUGACUGCCACCUCACGCCGUCCCAGUUUGCGGAUGCUAAUACGUCGUCAUGUGCUUGGAUGAUGUGGAUCUUGCUUCAUUUGACUCCCACUUCAACCCUUUGUUUUAUACUUGCAAAAAGUCAUUCGUUUCAACUUAUUAAUUUACAUUAGUUAGUGCUUCGCAUGGAUCACCACUUCCAUUUUUUAUUCAAAAAUUAUCUAAAAUUGAUUUAAAAUAUAUAUAUAUUAGAUUAGGGUAUAUUUAUGAUGAGGGUAAAAAAAUUGUAUAAUAAAAUUUAAAAAAUAUAUAUGAAAAUUAAAUGUAGCUUUAGUCGAAUUAAUAAAAUCGAGGGAAAACAAAUUUUGAAGUCUUGGAUGAAUCUUAUCAUGUACAAAAAUUAUUUUAUAAAAAUAUUGAAGUUUUGAUUAAAUUAAUUUUGAUUAGCUAUGAAAAAUUGAUUUACUCAAUAUUUUAUCCAUUAUCGAUAUUUAGUAUUUUUUUUAUAAUUUUUAAAAAUACGAAACUUUUAUUAUACAUUCAUCUAUAUUUAAUAUAUUCUUUUAUAAUUUUUAAAUUAUUUUAAUUUUUUAAAAUUUAAUCGUCUUUUAUUUCUUUGAUUUUAGAUUGUGCUUUAUUUUUAUGUAGUCAAUUUUUUUAAUUCUUUUAAUGUUUAGGCAAGUAAUUUUUCUUUUUCAAUUUUAAUUUUAUUAUUUCUAUUGUUUUAAUUUUUAAUCAAAUUUCAGAAUUUGAUAAAACCAUGCAUGGUGGUUAUAAUUUUUCAAAUUUGAUUUUUUUUCUAGUGUUUUUUUUCUAUAUUUUUAAUGGUUGAUUUUAUUUUAUUUUUCAAUUUUUGCUUGUGAUUUUUAUCAAUUUUUUUCAUUUUUAAUUAUUGAUUUAAGCAUUUUAAAUUUUUAUUUAUGUUUUUUUUAACAUAUAGUUUCAACAUUUCCCUCAAAAUUGUAAUUAUUUUAAUUAAAAUUAAAUUAAAUUAGAGAUAAUUUCGUAUGUGAUUGAAUGUAGAAUAAUAUUUGUAUGUCUUUAAAAAUUGAUGAUGUGGCAUUAUUUAUAUUUUAUUGAUACCUAAAAAUUAUAUAUUUUAAUAUCAUUAUAAUUUAAGUUAUUCCCACUAAAAUAAGUCUCUUUUACAAUUAUUUCUUAGCAUAGGUUCAUUUCUAGAUGUUGAGUUUUUUUAUAAAUGUUGAAAACUAAUAGCAAAAAAUAUGUUAUCCAAUCAUCUGGUUUGAUGAUGUGACAUUAUUUUGACCUUGACAUCCAUUAGUAUCAAGGUUCUUCUGAGUAAUUUUUAGAAAAACCCUUAGGAUCGGAAUCUUGUACUUUGUUGUUACAGAUAUGGAUUUGAGUUAAUGUGGCAGAACCUUGAACCAUAGUGGUGUUAAAUUUAGACUAGACUUGUUCAUGGGUUGAGCCACUCACCCAGACAUGAAGGCCUACUUAAAAAUGGGUUUAGACAAAAUACGAUACCCAAAAAAUGGACUUGGACAAAAUUUAUGGCUCGUUUUCUAUAUGGGUUGGGCCUUAGGCAAGAUUUUUGGUCUAACCUCGGCCUGAAUAUAUUAUGUUAUAAGAAUAUUAUAUUAAUUAUAUAUGUUAAAUAAUAGUUAUAUAUUUAUAUUUAUAUUAAAUCACUAACCUAAUAACAAUUAAACUCAUUACCUAAAACCUAAAAAAAAUAAAAAUUUACCCAACUAAAUAAGCCGACCCAAAAUAUUAAAUUUUAAAAAUUAUAUUUAAUAUAAUAAAAUAUUUAUUAUAUUUAUGAUAGUGUUUUUUAAUAUAAAUAAUUUUUAAUGUAUUUUAAUAUGUUAGAAAUUAAAAACUUUUAUUUUAGUAUUUUUUAGUGCAUUUAAUUUUAUAAAUUGAUUUUUUAAAUAAAAAUUAAUCUUAAAAAAAUCAAAUAUGGGCAGGCCGGGUCCUGGUUUACCUUUCUUAAAUUAGAUCGGAUUUCGGUAAAAAUUAGCUCAUUUUUCGAACGAACUUGAAAAAUUGAUUUUAAUACCUUAUAAGGAUCUGACUUGAACAGACCAUUUGGUGAGUAUGAAGGUUAUGGUAAUUCCGAGUUGAAAAGCAGUGUGGUCUGGAUUUCCAUUUUCUUUCUGAUUCGCUCUUGCCAACAAAGGGUUAUUGCUAAAAUUAGCCACCGAAUACGCACUUCCAUUUCCUUAUGAAAUACUGUACGUCCAUGGUCUGUUACUUUAAAAAAAAUUUCUUCCACGCACAAUAAAUCAAUUAAACUACAUUGAGGACUUGCGAAAAGAAAUCGUGCAUCCUAUAAUAAUAUCAACCACUUUCAGUUCUUUGUUACCAAAUAAACUAUUGCCUCAAAGUUGACAAGAAAAGCCUUUUGCAUGUUAUGGUGAAAUUUAAUAAAUAAAUAAAAAUUAAAAAAGGAAACUGCUGCUGAUAAUAGUCAAUUACUUCAUCUUCACCAGCUUGGAGCCGCCAAAUUGCUGGUCUUAUAUGUAUAAUAAAUUAUGUUAAUAAUAAAUAUCUCCCAAAUAAAAUUACACAAUUAGAGGAUAGCAUAGAUAUUCUUAAAGAAACUCAGAGAAUCUGAUCAAAACUCACAUUUACAACAAUUCAGUGGACCAAAAAUCAAUACUGUUAAUAUGUACAAUAGCUUGAUUUGCUCAACAUUAACUAUCGUGCCAAUUUAUUUACUUACAGGCGAUUAGCAUAUUCCAAAAAAACAUAAAUCACUUAAAAGAACCUGUAACAGAUUUACUUACAAGGGCACAUCCGAUCACAGCGAUGGAUCUGGGAGGGACAGUUGCCCUCCUUGGAAUUUUUAAAUUUUAUGUAUAAAUUAUCAUAUAUUUUUAGAUUUUGUGUUCAUAUUGUAUAACAUUUGCUAUCCUUGGUCAAAUUUUAUUUCAUAUAAAAAUAAAAAAUAGUUAAAUUAAUAGAAAUAAAGUUUUCCUAAUAUUUCAGUCCCCAAUAACAAUGUCAAAAACUUGAUUGCAGUCGUAAACUAACUAAAAAUUUGACUAAGGUAAAUGUACAUAUCAAUUAAUAGUAUAACUAUGGUGAGCACAGAUAUCGUUCCCAUGAAGACUAAAAGUACUAGUAAUUACUGUCUUUUUAUUAUUUAUCUAACAAAUUGGAAUGAUUAAUUAAAAAUUAAAAUUAACUAAUUAAAUUAACUAAAGAAAGAACAAAUCAGGAAAAUAAUAGGGUAAACAACCAAUAAGUGAAACAAUACUCAGAAAAGAAUUCACCUAGACUUCAUCUGUCACUAUCGAUUUAUAUUACGCAAUUUCUUCAUUUAGUCUCUUGAUCAGUAGAAAUUUCUAAAUUAUGCUAAUGUCUCUUUUGAAGACUAAGAGCAAUUGACUCUAGGUUGAUUAAUCAAAAUUUCUUUCUAAUUAAAACCCCUAUUGUCGUAUUAACUCAAUCUAUAGAUCCCCCUAUUAGAUUUGACUCUAAUUUGAUAGAUUUAUAUUGUCCUAUUUCGAGGAUUACAUGCAACUCCACUCAAUUACGCUAGAUCUGCUCUUAAACAGGGUCUAUUCCUCAUCUGAUUCAAGCACAUCAAACAUGGAUUAUUAGUCUAGAAAUAUUAAACCAAGAACUAAGUACACAUAAUUGAUAACAAAAUUCAAGUAUUUAUUGUGUAAAAAUAGAAAUCAAAUAAUAGAAUCCAUCCUACGAUUCAUCUCCGUAGGUAUUUAGAAAAUUAGUUCAUGAUAACAAAUAAAAACAUCCUAAAGACUGUAUAACUAUAAGAAAUAAAAAAAACUCAUAAUAAACUUCAAAGAAAUCAAAAGGAGAUUCUUCAAUCUUGAUGGAAAUCUACUUCAGAUUUGGCUUCAAUGGUGUUUUUCGAGUUGUUUUCUUGAAUAUUCUAUGAAGGCUCUCCCCUAUCUUCUUAUUUUUUUUUCAUAUAUAGGUCUCAGAAUGCCAAAAAACUUAAAAGUUAUAUUUUUCCAUGUGUUUGGAGUGUGAUUCACGAAAUCCACACAGUCUGGCACAUGGUCAUGUUGUAGCCCGUGUGGCUUACACAGCUGUGUGUCCAGCCCGUGUGACUCUUGAAACUUAAUUUGAUUUUCCAGUUUUUGCUCGUUUUUCACUCAUUUUGCUCCCAAAAGCCCUCCUAUGUAUAAAAACAUGAAUUUAAAAAAUUAGGAGCAUAAAUUUCACCAUUUAAAUCAAAUAAUCAUUCAAAAACGCAUUAAGAAUGAGACUAAAAUAUGUUACUUUUGGCAUUUAUGAAGUGCUAACUAAGACAAAUAAGUCAAGUAUUUAUCCUCUUCUUGAUAAAAUUAUUCGUCUUGUGCUAACUCUUUCCGUGUCUACUGCAACAAUCAAAUGAGCAUUUUUAGCCAUGAAAAUUGUUCAGACAAUGCUUCACAAUAGAAUAAAGGAUGAUUCUUUUAACUUACUUGGUGACAUAGAUUGAAGAAAAGAGAGCUCGAGAGUUUUCAAUAGAUUCUAUCAUUGAUGAGUUCGAUCUUAUAAAAAAGCGGAGGGUGCAAUUUAAGAUGGCUAGUGUUGAGAAAUAAGACUAAUGCCAAGUUUUUUUAAUUUUAUUUUUGGAAUUAUAAUGAUAUUUAUGAAAUUAUUCGUAUAGUAUUAGUUUUUCUUUUAAUUUUUUUAUAGUUAAAUCGUUCAUACUUUUUUUAAAAACAUUAAAUUAAUUUAUUUGAUAAGAAAAAGAGAAAUAUCCAAGAAGAAUUCACACUUUUUCAUGUUAAAAAAAGAGAUCGUUUGGAUUUCCAUGUCCGAUCCGAACAACACCUUCUUAACCACAUGCAGAUACAAGAGUGGAUUAGCUUCCAUGCGAACUGGUUUCAUCACCAAAUAAUCACAUGAAGCUUAAAGACAUCAAGUAACCUGUCCAUGCUGUACGGGGAACCAUAAAUUUGCGCCGUAGUGCUCGAAAUUUUCAAUCUCAUUCGCAUCGGCAUCCUUACUGGAACUCUUGUGUUCAUCUUUUACAAGUUUAAAUGAGAGGAUGCGUACCCAUAGAUCUCUCUUUUUUGUCACUUUCAGACGUGCAAAUAUAGAUUCGAACCUACGUCAAAGGAGGAAUGUGGGUAUACAAAAAGGACAAUUUCGAAUUAUGACGUCUUACCCGAUAGGUCAGGUCAUGACAUGCUGAUUAAUAAUAAUGCUUAGUAUCCGGUCCUCCCGGCGAGAUCAGAGUUUUUCAUUACAAGCAUCGAUACAAUGAUGAUGAACGACAGCACCGGCCAUGAAAUACGUUCUUUUUAGAGAGGAGAAACGAAGUUAUGUAAAUCAAAUACCCAAUAAGCUUAUAUAUAUUGAAGGAGAAACCUGUGCUGCGCAAUGGGACAAAAUUGAAAUGACACUUCCCCCAAGAAAAGUCCGUUAUUUCUUCAAUAUAAGACAUUGAUAUUGGAACAUCAACGUAUAAGCAGAUAAAACUUAUAGGAAAUGGUUUUGUCGUAACCCCAAAAACACAGCUGAUUUUCUGCUUUCCUGACUCACCACCAUAAACGUUAGAGAGGAUACGAAAAACAAGAUGAUGAUGCUUUAAUGUCGUGGAAAGUUGAUGUUCUUUGCCUUUGAUUAACCGCCAAAAGGGGGGGGGGGGGUCACUGUUUUUAUGUUGUGGCAACUCGGAAAUCUUGUCUUUCUUGCUGUCAAGUGCUUAUCUUCUAUUAACAUUAUUACAGACUUGACUCAAAAAGGCGCUCAUGAAGACAAUACAACCAUUUAUCCUUACCUAAUAGAUUCCUGUCUUUUCCACGGACUUCUUUUAUCCAAUGGAGAGAAAGAGAAUUUCUAAGUUGUCCUUAAGCAUGGAUUGGAAAAUAUAUUAUUUUAAAUGUUUUCGUGGUUGUUUUCUUCCUUUGGCCAUUUGCAAGCCGCACGCAUACAUGAUCCAUUGAAAAAGGUUUUUUGUCCAUAUAUCUUGACACGUAUUACUUUACAUAGUAUACCAGACAUAUAUAGCAUAAAUGAAGAUUAUGCCUUCCAUCAAUUGAGGUGAGUUAUCUAAAGUUUUUAGCAUAAUAAUAACGUGAUAGAAAAACUACAAAUAUAUAACAUAAAUUAAAUAAUCCAUUGAGGUGAAUUCAAAACAUAUUGGUACAAGAAAAACAGUGACUCUUGCAUUAUAUUUUCAGAGAACAAAAUUAAAUUACGGAUUGCUUAAUUAAAUUAGUUUUGGGUAAAAAUGAAACUUGCAAAUUUUUAAACUCUCUCCUACGGUAGUACUAGUUUUUCUAGAAACAGACAAGGCAAAGAAUGUUUUUUCUUUUUAGAAUACUUCUAUGCAAUUAGUUAGAUAAUGUUUUAUUUUCAAAAUAAAUAAGUAAUCCAUUUAGGAGAAAAUGGAAACCGUGUCUUCGAUUUGCUUUCGAAAUGAGGACCAUUAACAAAAAAAAUGAUGAUAAGAAAAGGACUUGUAUUUACUUUGUUCAUCAUCAAGGCACAAUGAAAAAUUGUACAGCUGGACAGUGAGAUUUUGUUUGAAAUUUUGACUGUUAUACUUUGUUGUUUCAUCUUGUUUUAUGACAUUGAGUAUAAUAAUUUUUCUGCAAGAGUCAGAGUAAAUUGAUGUGUUCAUAAAUUUUACUUGCAUAUAAUUAAUGUUUUUAAUUAUUGUCUUAAUUAGACAACAAAUGCAUGGCGUUUAAUGUACAAAGGGAAUUAGAUUUAAAAGAGACUUAAAGCUAUUAUAUUGAUAAUGUUUCGGAAAAUCCAUAGCCGUUGUGAUGUGUUGUUAAAAAUAAAUUGUUUGGAAGUAUUGUAUCAUGUUAAGGGUACUCUAAUGAUACAACAACUGAAUUCGUAUGCAUUCAUGCCAUUGGAGACUUGUUACAUCGAUAUUGAGAUAUUGGUAUUACACAUAUGCAUUGAGAAUGCGAUAGGAUGGCUAAUUACUUAACAAAGGCUAUAGAAGGAAUGAUUAUUAGCUUUUACUCUUGGUCCUAACCUCUUGAUUUUGCUUUGAAUGUACUGCAUGAGGAUGUUAUUGGUUUAUCUUUUCCUAGAUUGAUUGCUAUGUAAUAGCUUUUACUCUCCUUAAUAAAUAAAAAUAAAAAUGCAUGGACUAUAUCUUGUGUUUUUCCUCAAUAGCAAUGUUUAGACCUUGUUGAAACAAAGCGUCUAUUAGCUUGCCUUGCUACUCUGUCAAACAACUCCACUGGAAACGUUGCAUUUGACAUUAUUAUCGUCUCGGUGACGAGCUUAAUGACGACCUCAAUGCCAUUUCAACACCAACUAAUAAUAGUCAAUAGUUGAUAAGUGUAAAAAGUAACAUGUUUUAAUCCUGUUCUUAAUGCAUUUUUGGAUGAUUAAUCAAUACAAAAUGGUGAAUUUUAUGCCCUUAAUACUUUAAGUUCAUGUUUCUAUACUUACGAGAGCAUUUGGGAGCAAAAUUGGCGAAAAUGGAGCAAAAAUUGGACAAUUGAAGCAGAUUUCAAGAGCCACACGGGCUGGGCCUUCCCACACUGCUUGGACAUACGGCCGUGUGAGCCACACAGCCAUGUGCCAGACUGUGUUGAUUUCAUGAGUUGUAUUCCGGACACACGAAAAAAUGUAAGUUUUUAGUUUUUCAGACAUUUUAAGACCUAUAAAUACUAAAUAUAAGAAGAGGAGAGAGAGCCGUCAGAGAAUAUUGAAGAAAACAACUUGAAAAACACCAUUGAAGCCAACUUUGAAGCAGAUUUACACUAAGAUUGAAGAUCUCCUUUUAAUAUGUUUGAAGUUUAUGAUGAGUUUCAUUAUUUCUUGUAGUUAUGCUGACUUUGAGAUGUUUUUAUUCAUGAUUACGAACUAAUUUUCUAAAUAUCUAGAGUAGAUGAACCUUAUGAUGAAUUCUAUCUUUUGAUUUCUGUUUUACACAAUAAAUCCUUAAAUCUUGUUCUCAGUUAUGUGUGCUUAAUUUUUGAUUUAAUAUUUUCGAAUUAUUAAUUCAUGUUUGAUGUGCUUAAUUCAGAGGAGGAAUAGACCAUAUUUAAGAGUAGAUCUAGCAUAAUUGAGUGAAGUUGCAUACAAUCCUAGAAAUAGGACGACAUAAAUCUACCAGAUUAGAAUCAAAUCUAAUAUGGGAAUUCACAGAUUGAGUUAAUGCGAUAUUAGGGGUUUUAGAUUAAUAAUGACAGAUGCAUUCUAGGUGAAUUCUUUCUUGGGUAUUGUUUCACUUCUUGGUUAUUAUUCGAUUAUUUUCCUGAUUUGUUUUUUGCCAAGUUCUUAGUUAAUUAAUUUAGUUAAUUAUAGUUUAAUUCAAUCACUUCAAUUUGUCGGUUAAAUAAUAGAAAAUCGGUAACUACUAGUAUUUUUAGUUCUCAUGGGAACAAUAUCUUUGCUCACCGUAGCUAUACUAUUUAUCGAUAGAUACACUUGCCUUUGUCGUAUUUUUUAGUUGAUUUCGUGGACAUCAAUAGUAAAACACUUAGAUAUUAGAAUAUGAACGUAGUGUAAGAACAAUGCAUCAGGUAAGUUCUCAGAAAAUAGAUGUACGUCAUAAAGACACUCUUAGAUAAUGUCUUUCCUAGUCAGAAUUUUUCCUAAACAUGCACUUUCACACAACUACGCUUCUAUCCAGUAACUGAAGAGCCACAAAUAAUCUCUAAUAGUGAAAAUUUUCUUCCUAAUGCGAAAGAUCAAACAAUACUACAACCAUAAAGCAUAUUAAGAAAAUUAAUACUCCUUCAUUGAGGUUUGAUACCAAUUGUUAGCGAUACAGGCAAUAUCUCAUACAAAUGUAGCUUCAAUACUGAAACACUAAAAUUGAAUUAGAAACAUCAAUACUAAAUUGAAACUAUUCCAAACGCAGUAAGUUAGCUUGGAAAAUUACUACUAAAAAUAAAUUUAAUAUGAUAACAAAACCUAUAAAUGCAAAUAAAAUAAAUAAAAAAGAGUACACCAAAUUUAUGAAACACUAAUAUCACUUGAUAACUUCACUAUCACCAGAAGAUUUACGAACUAAUAAUACACUUACACGAAGGGAAGAGAUUAGGAUGAUUUCAAAGUAAAGCCUUAAACACUUAUUAUAUAAGUGGUUGAGGUGACAUAAAUGCAUCCCCUCUACCAUGUGGGAUGUCAAACAAAACCAACAAUUGUCAAUGGGCUAAUUUAAUGAAUGAAAUGAAAAUUGAGGGAAUCAAGUGAUAGACAAAAAAAAUCAAAGUGGGAAUUUCAUUAUAAUAUAAAAGUCAAAACAUGUAUUAAACAAAUAAAUUAAUAUGAUGUGGUUGGAAUUUUUUUUCUUGAAAUCUUGAAAAGGAUUAAUGAGAAAGGGCAUAACCAUGUUUAAUCCAAGCUAGAGAUUGAUCAGGUUUUUCCGUUUCAAUAGUAAAUCAUUUCUUUCUAUUAAAAUUAGGGGAACUCAGUUUUUGCCCAUUUUGAAUAGUCCCCUUUAACAUCAAAUGAUGAAAUCUCGUAAAAGCAAAGAACACUAUUGGCCUUUGGUUGGGUCUGGUCGGUAUCACUGAGCCGACUUUAGUCCUUUUUUUUUUUUUCUUUAGUAGGUUCCACAUACCCCCCAACUCCAUUAACUUGCUGGAUUCAUUAUGAUUGUGACUCGUAAUAGGUAAAUAGGAAAUAAGAUAAUAUAAAAUAAAAAUAAACAGAGUUUGGAAGUUAAAAUUAUCAUCUCGAAUACAAGAAAUUCAACAUAUUUUAAUCAUAUUUUAAAAGAGUAAUCCUAUUAAUAUUAAAUAUUAAUUUUAAUUUCGAACCUACAUUUCUUUAAUUACUUAAAAUUCAUGUUAAUCCUUUAUAUUUUAUAUCAAUGGCGGUCCCCUUUCACAUUCGGAUAAGAUCAAAAAGUAAGUCGAAACUUACUCUUAAAUCGAGUUCAUUGGAAGACCAUGUUGCAAUUGAAUCUAAAAUAGAACCAAAUGAUCCUCCCUCCGCCAAAAAAUUACAGUAAGUUCUAAUUUCUUUGUUUGACAGCUGAAACGACCUACAAAAUAUGGUUGAGAGUAUAUACAUGGGAUUUGCCAUCAUGGGGGGGGGGGGGUUCUAGGUUUAACAGUGCAAUACACAUACAUGUCGUUCUUUUAGUAUUUAUCUAGUAUUAUUUUAAUUAUCUUUUCUAAUAAUAUCAUCGCGCUAUAUCUGAAAUUUAAAAAAUAUUAUAUAGAUAUUUCUGAUCACAUUAUUCAUAAUUUUUUUCAAUUAUUUAAUGACAUUUCAACAAAAUUUUUCAUGUCGUUGACACAUAAUUUUAUUAAAUUUUUAUCAUGAACGCCAAACCCAGAAUCCAGAACCCUGAGUCCUGAGCCCUAUAUCCUUAACCUCAAACCCCUAGUCCUGUAUCCCGAAUCCUGAACUCCAAAUCUAAACCUUGAAUUCAAACCCUAAACUCUAAACUCUAAACUUGGGGUUCAAGAUUCAAGUUCGGAGUACAAUAUUCAGGGUUUGGAUUCGAGGUUCAAGGUUUAAAAUAAAAAAAUUAUCAAAAUUAUGUGUGAAUAACAUUGAAAAGAAUUACCAAAAUAUUAUUAAAUAAUUAAAAAACUAUAAAUAAUGUGGUAGAAAUGGUCCAUAAAAUAAUUCCUCCUUAAAUUAUUAAGCAUGUCGUGUUUGAAUCCAUCAAAGUAAAUUUAAAUUCUUGAUAUAAUUCCAACUUUAAGUAAAAAAAAAAAAUCCAAAUACCACACAUUUCUUUUUGAUAUCAAUAUCAAGCACAUAUUAGUUGAAAUUUAGAGUGCUAAUUUAUGACAUGCAGUUAAAAUCAUUAAUAUGGUUUACAUCAUAUCAAGUCUAUUCAUCCCAUAUAUGUGCGUAUAUGUGAUAAAAAAGAAGAGAUAAUAUUAAUUUUACUUGUGGUGAAAAAUGACAUGAACAACAAUCUAGCUAGCACCAAUCGCAAAUGCAUGUGCUGCAGAGUGAAGCUAGAUGGAUUCCCAAAAAAAUAAAUGAAGGUGGUCGUAAUUUGCUGAUUUGUGAGUGUAAUGAAGAUAUCCGAACAUCCCACCAUCUCCAAAGUAGUUUAGCCAGAAAAAUGUUAAAAAGAAGUCUAUCCAUAGAAAAUAAAAGCUUCAGAUAGUUGAAUUGCUACAAAAUGAUGGAUAUAUAGAUUAUUGAAGUCUGAUAUAUUAUUGGUCAAAUUAUGUCACCUUAUUUUGAUCUCCAAUAGCUAAGUAAUUGAAGAACAAUUGUACAAACAGUCAUCCACACACCAAAUGAUCUACACUAGAAGCAAGUAAAAGAAAAUGUAUGGAAAAUGAAAUUUCUAACAUUUUUCUCUCUUUUUUCUGAUGGUGCAAAUCACCGGCUGCUAACAAAACGCAUGAUUAUUUAUGAUGAUGAGGGUCAGGUCCCCCUGGACUAAGUCGUUUCGACUCGAAUGGGAUUCCGCCAUUUCUUUGAAUGCUUGCUUUAAUGGCUUCCCUGCCUUCUUCGAUCAAUGGACGGUUGGCUUCAAUAAUGGUUGCUUUAGAGUGUUGUUUGCCUGCAACUGCCAAUGCUAACUGGUCUGUGCCUGAAAAUUGUUUGGAUUCAAACCUAUAAGUUAUCUCUACUUCAUCAUCUGUACUACUAGCCUUAUACUGUGGUUUUGAUUCCAUUUCCAAUGCCGGGUCAGCAGUCGAAAACGGAUGAAACAACCGAGUACCGGAACUCGAAACCAAGAACAAAACUUGUAGGGAAAGGUAGAAUAAAACUUUGAAGCUCGCCAUUGAAAGUUAUCAAAUUCAGG
RNAcentral lists this long non-coding RNA (14268 nucleotides) under Gossypium raimondii (Peruvian cotton). RNAcentral describes it as "long non-coding RNA (GRAI_LNC000954)". The record is from RNAcentral. Lineage: Eukaryota; Viridiplantae; Streptophyta; Magnoliopsida; Malvales; Malvaceae.